AAGUCGUAACAAGGUUUCCGUAGGUGAACCUGCGGAAGGAUCAUUACAGUAUUCUUUUGCCAGCGCUUAAUUGCGCGGCGAAAAACCUUACACACAGUGCUUUUUGUUAUUACAAGAACUAUUGCUUUGGCUUGGCCUAGAGAUAGGUUGGGCCAGAGGUUUAACUGAACUUCGAAAUUUAUUUUGAAUUGUUUCUAAUAUUUAAUUUGUCAAUUUGUUGAUUAAUUUCAAAAAAUCUUCAAAACUUUCAACAACGGAUCUCUUGGUUCUC
RNAcentral lists this unclassified non-coding RNA (271 nucleotides) under air metagenome. RNAcentral's name for it is "partial contains small subunit ribosomal RNA, internal transcribed spacer 1, and 5.8S ribosomal RNA". The stretch from base 1 to 46 matches the Rfam family "Eukaryotic small subunit ribosomal RNA", at positions 1786 to 1831 of the family's 1831-position model. The record is from RNAcentral.